CCUACGGGAGGCAGCAGUGGGGAAUAUUGGACAAUGGGCGAAAGCCUGAUCCAGCCAUGCCGCGUGUGUGAAGAAGGCCUUCGGGUUGUAAAGCACUUUCAGUGGGGAAGAAAGCCUUGGGGCUAAUACCCUCGAGGAAGGACAUCACCCACAGAAGAAGCACCGGCUAACUCCGUGCCAGCAGCCGCGGUAAUACGGAGGGUGCGAGCGUUAAUCGGAAUUACUGGGCGUAAAGCGCGCGUAGGCGGUCUGAUAAGCCGGUUGUGAAAGCCCCGGGCUCAACCUGGGAACGGCAUCCGGAACUGUCAGGCUAGAGUGCAGGAGAGGAAGGUAGAAUUCCCGGUGUAGCGGUGAAAUGCGUAGAGAUCGGGAGGGAUACCAGUGGCGAAGGCGGCCUUCUGGACUGACACUGACGCUGAGGUGCGAAAGCGUGGGUAGCAAACAGGAUUAGAUACCCGAGUAGUC
RNAcentral lists this ribosomal RNA (465 nucleotides) under Vreelandella stevensii. RNAcentral describes it as "partial 16S ribosomal RNA". It matches the Rfam family "Bacterial small subunit ribosomal RNA", at positions 338 to 795 of the family's 1533-position model. Lineage: Bacteria; Pseudomonadati; Pseudomonadota; Gammaproteobacteria; Oceanospirillales; Halomonadaceae. The record is from RNAcentral.